Molecule: ribosomal RNA, 492 nt
Filed under: uncultured bacterium
Lineage: Bacteria
Description: partial 16S ribosomal RNA
Rfam family: Bacterial small subunit ribosomal RNA
Source: RNAcentral
AGUGAACGCUGGCGGUAGGCCUAACACAUGCGAGUCGAACGGCAGCACAGUAAGAGCUUGCUCUUACGGGUGGCGAGUGGCGGACGGGUGGGGAAUACAUCGGAAUCUACUUUUUCGUGGGGGAUAACGUAGGGAAACUUACGCUAAUACCGCAUACGACCUACGGGUGAAAGCAGGGGAUCUUCGGACCUUGCGCGAUUGAAUGAGCCGAUGUCGGAUUAGCUAGUUGGCGGGGUAAAGGCCCACCAAGGCGACGAUCCGUAGCUGGUCUGAGAGGAUGAUCAGCCACACUGGAACUGAGACACGGUCCAGACUCCUACGGGAGGCAGCAGUGGGGAAUAUUGGACAAUGGGCGCAAGCCUGAUCCAGCCAUACCGCGUGGGUGAAGAAGGCCUUCGGGUUGUAAAGCCCUUUUGUUGGGAAAGAAAAGCAGCAGGUUAAUACCCCGCUGUUCUGACGGUACCCAAAGAAUAAGCACCGGCUAACUUCGUG